CUUCAUAAUAGGGGCUAGAUGUGUGAAGCCUGGCUUUAAUUUUUGCUUAGUAGGAUCAAUGUCAUAUUUAUUUAUUGGACAUAACCUAGGUUUCACUCUUUGAACAUUAUUUUAAGGGAUAAAAAGUUACUUGAGAGUCAUGUGAGGAGUUGAGCGUGGAGAUAGCACCAUAAGCCAAACAUUUAUGCUAAUUUUAUGUAAAUUAUGUGCUAUGAUCCACGCCCCGCCCCCACAUGCGAUUAAAAAGUUGAUUUUUAGUGUGCUAAAGCACAUGCUAAAACAGAUGCUAAAUUUUAAAAAGGCAAGGGUCUUUUAAAAUGCUUGAUGUCUGUGAGGUUGACAGGAGAAAUAUUAAAUAAAUAUACAUACACUGUUUAAGGAUUCUGUGUUUUCUUUCUCAUAGGAACCACUCGUUUUGACUAUUAUUUUAUCACUCUUUGUGAAACUUCACAAUGUUCGGGUAAGUAUUUCAUAAUUUCAUUUAGAAAAAUUUAAAAGAAAUUUCUUUGUAAAUCACACCUUUUUUUUUCUUUUUAAAGGAGGACAUUGUGAAUGAUAUUACAGCUGAACACAUUUCUAUUUGGCCAUCUUCCAUUCCCAAACAUCGUGUUGCUUUGUCGCCCAGGCUGGAGUGCAGUGGUGAGGUCUCAGCUCACUGCAACCUACGCCUGCAAGGUUCAAGCGAUUCUCAUGCCUCAGCCUGCCAAGUAUCUGGGAUUACAGCCUCCAGUCUGUGGACUUUGAAGCUGUGGCAAUAACAGUGAAAGAGCUAGUUCGAUAUACACUCAGUAUAAAUCCAAAUAACCAUUCUUGGUUAAUUAUCCAGGCAGAUAUUUACUUUGCAACGAAUCAGUAUUCAGCAGCUCUUCACUAUUACCUCCAGGCAGGAGCUGUGUGUUCUGACUUCUUUAACAAGGCUGUGCCCCCUGAUGUUUAUACAGACCAGGUAAUAAAACGAAUGAUAAAAUGUUGUUCUUUGC
Molecule: small RNA, 980 nt
Filed under: Pan troglodytes (chimpanzee)
Lineage: Eukaryota; Metazoa; Chordata; Mammalia; Primates; Hominidae
Description: retained intron
Source: RNAcentral